AGGGUGAUAACUCAGGGUAGAGCACGUGCUUAGCAUGCACAAGGUCCUGGGUUCAAACCCCAGUACCUCCA
RNAcentral lists this transfer RNA (71 nucleotides) under Camelus bactrianus (Bactrian camel). It matches the Rfam family "tRNA". From Rfam's summary of the family: Transfer RNA (tRNA) molecules are approximately 80 nucleotides in length. Their secondary structure includes four short double-helical elements and three loops (D, anti-codon, and T loops). Further hydrogen bonds mediate the characteristic L-shaped molecular structure. tRNAs have two regions of fundamental functional importance: the anti-codon, which is responsible for specific mRNA codon recognition, and the 3' end, to which the tRNAs corresponding amino acid is attached (by aminoacyl-tRNA synthetases). tRNAs cope with the degeneracy of the genetic code in two manners: having more than one tRNA (with a specific anti-codon) for a particular amino acid; and 'wobble' base-pairing, i.e. permitting non-standard base-pairing at the 3rd anti-codon position. RNAcentral also lists the same sequence under 2 other names. Lineage: Eukaryota; Metazoa; Chordata; Mammalia; Artiodactyla; Camelidae. The record is from Rfam by way of RNAcentral.